AUGGCUCCGCGUUCAGGUGCUUUCUUUCUCCAAGCGGCCGCCGUCGCUGCUGUUCUCGCCAUGCUGGUCGUGCCUUCCUUGGGGCGCUGUCAUGGCUCUCCAUCGCCAGCACCGCCACCGACAACCUCCACACCACCACCUCUGGCGCCGUUGCCACCAAGUCCGGCGCUGGCGCCGGGACCGUCAUGCAACGACUGUUAUUCGCAGUGCUACUUCUCCUGCGACGCCUCCAUUUCCUCAACGUGCAGCGUAUACUGCAACGUUGAAGGUGCCUGCAACUCCUGCAGGGCUAAUACCAUCAAGGAAUGCAGGGCCAGCAAAAACUGCGCCGGCAGCUGCGACGAGUGCAACGACCCAACCAACUCUUCAUGCGCUUUAGCGUGCAGCACCCAAUACUGCGACAGGUGUCGUUACUGGGAGAUCCAGAAGUGCCAGAAAAAGUGCCGCCAGGAGUGCUCCGCACCCAAAUGCGUACCUUAG
RNAcentral lists this ribosomal RNA (480 nucleotides) under Triticum aestivum (bread wheat). RNAcentral's name for it is "partial small subunit ribosomal RNA". Lineage: Eukaryota; Viridiplantae; Streptophyta; Magnoliopsida; Poales; Poaceae. The record is from RNAcentral.